This 292-nucleotide long non-coding RNA is filed under the name Ananas comosus (pineapple). RNAcentral describes it as "long non-coding RNA (ACOM_LNC004621)". The record is from RNAcentral. Lineage: Eukaryota; Viridiplantae; Streptophyta; Magnoliopsida; Poales; Bromeliaceae.
UGUAGCUAUACAUAUUAAGGACUUGUUAAUUCAAGUGGCAAAUGAUUCCUUAAUGAUCAAUAUCUGAAAUUUCAAGUUGGAAACUUAAUUAUUUCACUUUUCUAAUCAAGUUCAUUUUUCUAAAAGAAUAAGCGGAGUGGAUGUCAUGUUAUCUUUCUCUAAAAGAAAAAGCUUUAAAUUCAUGCUCCUUAAUCUUCCAAUCUAAAUCACCACACAUUUUUUUAAUUAAAAAUUAAAACAAUUAUCAUUUAUUGGUGAACUAACUAAAUUGCUUCAUACAAUACUCUAAUCU